GCAAACUUGGUCAUUUAGAGGAAGUACAAGUCGUAACAAGGUUUCCGUAGGUGAACCUGCGGAAGGAUCAUUAGCAAAUCCAUUGGAGUGUGCGUAUAGUAUAGUAUAUAUCGAUAUAUUCGAUAUAUUCGAUAUAUUCGAUAUAUUCGAUAUAUUCGAUAUAUUCGAUAUAUUCGAUAUAUUCGAUAUAUUCGAUAUAUUCGAUAUAUUCGAUAUAUUCGAUAUAUUUGUACACUUCAAAAUAUGUGCUCUAGCAGAAUGCUAGACAUGUUAUAUAUACUGUAUGUAUUGUAAUGUGUGAUAAUGUUUGUAAUACAACAAAAAAUACUUUUAACAAUGGAUCUCUUGGCUCUUGCAUCGAUGAAGAACGCAGC
RNAcentral lists this unclassified non-coding RNA (374 nucleotides) under uncultured fungus. Its description in RNAcentral is "partial contains small subunit ribosomal RNA, internal transcribed spacer 1, and 5.8S ribosomal RNA". The stretch from base 1 to 73 matches the Rfam family "Eukaryotic small subunit ribosomal RNA", at positions 1759 to 1831 of the family's 1831-position model. The record is from RNAcentral. Lineage: Eukaryota; Fungi.